RNAcentral lists this ribosomal RNA (2762 nucleotides) under Anguilla japonica (Japanese eel). Its description in RNAcentral is "bacterial LSU rRNA". It matches the Rfam family "Bacterial large subunit ribosomal RNA". The record is from RNAcentral. Lineage: Eukaryota; Metazoa; Chordata; Actinopteri; Anguilliformes; Anguillidae.
AGCGUACACGGUGGAUGCCUUGGCAGUUGGAGGCGAUGAAGGACGUACUAACUUGCGAUAAGCCUAGUCAAGCCAGUAAGAGGCGCUUGAGACUAGGAUUUCCGAAUGGGGAAACCCACCUGCUUGCAGGUAUCGUUAACUGAAUACAUAGGUUAACGAGGCGAACGCGGAGAACUGAAACAUCUAAGUACCCGUAGGAAAAGAAAUCAACCGAGAUUCCGAAAGUAGCGGCGAGCGAAAUCGGAGCAGCCCUUAAGCUUUAGUGUAGUUAGUGGAAGAUGCUGGAAAGCAUGACGAAACAGGGUGAUAGUCCCGUACACAAAAACUUAUCUAAAGUGAAAUCGAGUAGGUCGGAGCACGUGAAACUUUGACUGAAUAUGGGGGGACCAUCCUCCAAGGCUAAAUACUCCCAACUGACCGAUAGUGAACCAGUACCGUGAGGGAAAGGCGAAAAGAACCCCUGUGAGGGGAGUGAAAUAGAACCUGAAACCGUGUACGUACAAGCAGUAGGAGCCUACUUGUUGGGUGACUGCGUACCUUUUGUAUAAUGGGUCAGCGACUUAUAUUCUGUAGCGAGGUUAACCAUUUAGGGGAGCCGUAGCGAAAGCGAGUCUUAACUGGGCGCUUAAGUUGCAGGGUAUAGACCCGAAACCCGGUGAUCUAGCCAUGGGCAGGUUGAAGGUUGAGUAACAUCAACUGGAGGACCGAACCCACUAACGUUGAAAAGUUAGGGGAUGACCUGUGGCUAGGAGUGAAAGGCUAAUCAAACCGGGAGAUAGCUGGUUCUCCCCGAAAUCUAUUUAGGUAGAGCCUCGGACGAAUACUUACGGGGGUAGAGCACUGUUAAGGCUAGGGGGUCAUCCCGACUUACCAACCCUUUGCAAACUCCGAAUACCGUAAAGUAAUAUCCGGGAGACACACGGCGGGUGCUAACGUCCGUCGUGGAGAGGGAAACAACCCAGACCGUCAGCUAAGGUCCCAAAGUGUAUGUUAAGUGGGAAACGAUGUGGGAAGGCUAAAACAGCUAGGAGGUUGGCUUAGAAGCAGCCACCCUUUAAAGAAAGCGUAAUAGCUCACUAGUCGAGUCGGCCUGCGCGGAAGAUGUAACGGGGCUAAACAUACCACCGAAGCUACGGCUGCGUACGUAAGUAUGCGGGGUAGGGGAGCGUUCUGUAAGUGGCUGAAGGUGUGCCGGGAGGCAUGCUGGACAUAUCAGAAGUGCGAAUGCUGACAUGAGUAACGACAAGAGGAGUGAAAAACUCCUCCGCCGGAAGACCAAGGGUUCCUAUCCCAUGUUAAUCAGGGUAGGGUGAGUCGACCCCUAAGGCGAGGCUGAAGAGCGUAGUCGAUGGGAAACGGGUUAAUAUUCCCGUACUCGGUAUGAAUGCGAUGGGGGGACGGAGCAGGCUAGGCAAGCAUGGCGUUGGUUGUCCAUGUGAAAGGCUGUAGGCUGGUGACUUAGGAAAAUCCGGGUUGCCAAGGCUGAGAGUCGAGACGAGCCACUAAGGUGGUGAAGUUGUUGAUGCCCUACUUCCAGGAAAAGCCUCUAAGCUUCAGUUCAUACUGAAUCGUACCCUAAACCGACACAGGUGGUCAGGUAGAGAAUACUAAGGCGCUUGAGAGAACUCGGGUGAAGGAACUAGGCAAAAUUGUACCGUAACUUCGGGAGAAGGUACGCUCUUGUUUGUGAAGGACUUGCUCUGUAAGCAAACGAGAGCCGCAGUGACCAGGUGGCUGGGACUGUUUAUUAAAAACACAGCACUGUGCAAAAUCGUAAGAUGACGUAUACGGUGUGACACCUGCCCGGUGCCGGAAGGUUAAUUGAUGGGGUUAGCUUAGGCGAAGCUCUUGAUCGAAGCCCCGGUAAACGGCGGCCGUAACUAUAACGGUCCUAAGGUAGCGAAAUUCCUUGUCGGGUAAGUUCCGACCUGCACGAAUGGUGUAACCAUGGCCACGCUGUCUCCACCCGAGACUCAGUGAAAUUGAAAUCGCAGUGAAGAUGCUGUGUACCCGCGGCUAGACGGAAAGACCCCGUGAACCUUUACUACAGCUUGGCACUGAACAUUGACCCUACAUGUGUAGGAUAGGUGGGAGGCUUUGAAGCAGGAACGCUAGUUUCUGUGGAGCCGACCUUGAAAUACCACCCUUGUAGUGUUGAUGUUCUAACUUAGGCCCCUGAAUCGGGGUUGAGGACAGUGCCUGGUGGGUAGUUUGACUGGGGCGGUCUCCUCCCAAAGAGUAACGGAGGAGCACGAAGGUUUGCUAAGUACGGUCGGACAUCGUACGGUUAGUGUAAUGGUAGAAGCAAGCUUAACUGCGAGACAGACACGUCGAGCAGGUACGAAAGUAGGUCAUAGUGAUCCGGUGGUUCUGAAUGGAAGGGCCAUCGCUCAACGGAUAAAAGGUACUCCGGGGAUAACAGGCUGAUACCGCCCAAGAGUUCAUAUCGACGGCGGUGUUUGGCACCUCGAUGUCGGCUCAUCACAUCCUGGGGCUGAAGUCGGUCCCAAGGGUAUGGCUGUUCGCCAUUUAAAGUGGUACGCGAGCUGGGUUUAGAACGUCGUGAGACAGUUCGGUCCCUAUCUGCCGUGGGCGUUUGAGAAUUGAGAGGGGCUGCUCCUAGUACGAGAGGACCGGAGUGGACGAACCGCUGGUGUUCGGGUUGUGAUGCCAAUUGCAUUGCCCGGUAGCUACGUUCGGAACUGAUAACCGCUGAAAGCAUCUAAGCGGGAAGCAGGCCUCGAGAUGAGUUCUCACUUUGA